AUUGAACGCUGGCGGCACGCCUAACACAUGCAAGUCGAGCGGUAACAGGGGGAGCUUGCUCCCUGCUGACGAGCGGCGGACGGGUGCGGAACACGUAGGAACUUGCCUAGAAGUGGGGGACAACCAGAGGAAACUCUGGCUAAUACCGCGUAAUCUCUUCGGAGGAAAGCUGCUCAGCAAUGGGUGGCGCUUUUAGAGAGGCCUGCGUCCGAUUAGCUAGUUGGAGAGGUAAAGGCUCACCAAGGCUAUGAUCGGUAACUGGUCUGAGAGGACGACCAGUCACACUGGGACUGAGACACGGCCCAGACUCCUACGGGAGGCAGCAGUGGGGAAUAUUGGACAAUGGGGGCAACCCUGAUCCAGCGAUGCCGCGUGGGUGAAGAAGGCCUUCGGGUUGUAAAGCCCUUUAGGCUGGGAAGAAGGUUAUAGGAGGAAAUGCUUAUAACUUGACGGUACCAGCAGAAUAAGCACCGGCAAACUC
Molecule: ribosomal RNA, 481 nt
Filed under: uncultured bacterium
Lineage: Bacteria
Description: bacterial SSU rRNA
Rfam family: Bacterial small subunit ribosomal RNA
Source: RNAcentral